Molecule: long non-coding RNA, 8052 nt
Filed under: Sus scrofa (pig)
Lineage: Eukaryota; Metazoa; Chordata; Mammalia; Artiodactyla; Suidae
Description: lncRNA (ENSSSCG00025002023.1)
Source: RNAcentral
GGUUGUGGCUGUGGCUGUGGUGUAGGCCAGUGGCUACAGCCUCGAUUUGACCCUUGGCCUGGGAACCUCCAUAUGACACUGGAGCCGCCCAAGAAAUGGCAAAAAGACAAAAAAAAAANACUGAAGUAGAGUUGAUUUACGAUGUUGUGUUAGUUUCAGGCGUACAGCAAAGUGACUCGUGUAUUUGUGUGUGUGUGUGUGUGUGUACACGUAUCUCUGAUGUGUAUGUAUAUACACACACAUCCUUUUUCAUACUCCUUUCCAGGGUGGUUUGUCACAGGAUGCUGAAUGUAGUUCGCUGUAGGGCAGGAGCCUGUUGUUUGUCCAUCCUGCAUACGUCUGCCUCUGCAAGACCCAAGCUCACUCCCAGUCCUUCCCUGCCCCACCCGCCUCCCCUUCGGCAGCCACAAGUCUGUUCCCUCUGUCCCAGAGUCUGCUUCUGCCUCGUAGACACGUUCGUUUGUGUUGAGUGUUUGUGAAGUUUCGUUAGAGUUGCUUUACGCGGGUGUGAUCAUGUCCGCUCUGCAACAACGUGAUUCAGGGACCCCUGUACCCACAGCCUUUCUCUCCCAGAUUCUCUUCCCACACAGAGGAUCCCAGAAUAUCGGGUAGAGGUCUCUGGGCUGCACGGCAGGUCCCCACUGGCCAGGACAACUCAGCGUACAGAUGCCAGUCCCAAACCCCAGGCUAUCUCUCCUCCCCCACAACUGUCCGCUUUGGUAACCGUACGCUUGUUUUCGAAGUCUGCCUGUCUGUUUCUGUUCUGCAGAUCAGUUUGUGCCACAUUUGAGACGCCACGUAUAAAUGAUAUCAUGUGACAUUUGUCUUCCACUGUCUGACUGACCUCACUUAGCAGGAGCAUCUCUAGGUCCGUCCCUGUUGCUGCAAACGGCAUCAUUUCACUCUUUUUACGGCUAACACUCCAUCGUGUAUAUGGACUACGUCUUCUUGAUCCAGUCCUCUGUUGAUGGACGUUUGGGGUGCUUCCAUGUCUCAGCUGUUCUGCAUAGAGCUGCAGUGAAUACUAGGGCGCACGUAUCUUUGUGAAUUACUGGUUCCUCCAGAGAGAGGCCCAGGCGUGGGAUUGCUGGUGGCAGUUCUGGUUUUAGUUUUUGCGUCCCCUCCGUACUGUUCCCCACAGUGGCAGCACCAGGUGACCUUCCCACCAGCAGUGUAGGUAGGUGGUUUUGUGAUCCCUGGCCUGGAGGACGAGAGUCCAGAGGGAAAGAGAAACUUUCCAUCCCCUCUUCCCUUCCGUGCAGUUCACGGGAUCCACAAACAACGCCUCCGGGAGAGGAACUGUUUUUAUCCUCAACACACUGAGUUGGAACCGCUAUUAAGAAAACUGCACAAGAACCCAGCUGGGAAGUGAAAGAGCCAAAACGCACUCCCACGCCGCGUUACUCCACAGCCUGCUCACUGCCACGUGUUACUACCCCACGGCUACGGGCGAGGGCUCGCUGCCUGGGGGGCACGGCAGCCAGCACCGCAGGCCCAGCUUUUGAGGAAAGAGGAGGCUUUGUUGCCAGGCCCAUGGCCAGGAAACAGGAGGCAGGGCUUCCAUCUGUCUUUCCCGUCCAGGGUUCAGGGUAAAAUUUAAGGGGUUCAGGGGACUUCAGACGUGGAAGCCAAUGGGCUCGUCUCAGUCCGUAGAAGCUGCUGGACGCCAGACUUUCCUCAUUGAAGGACGUCUCCCUUCCUCAAGGGCCCUGCCUGUAACACUUGCAUCCUUUGGGUCGCAGACUGAAGAAUCUUGGUUCCAGGGUCCCCUGAGAACGUGGGUUCCCAGGCUGGGGGUCCAAUCAGAGCUACAGCUGCUGGCCUCCACCACAGCUCACAGCUACGCCAGAUCCGAGCCUUGUCUGUGACCUAAACCACAGCUCACAGCAAUGCUGGAUCCUUCACCCACCAGAGGCCAGGGAUCGAACUUGCAUCCUCAUGGAUCCUCGUCGGCUUCAUUACCACAAGGGGAACUCUCUCGGGUCUCAUUUUAAAACCCAUUCCUGUUGAUGGAUGAGGUCUACGUAUAUCCUCAGGUGUCUUGAGGGACUUGUGAUCCCCCCGCUUCCCCCCCCCACCACACACACACACAGCCCUUCCACACGGAUGGCCGGUUGGGGCUGGAGAAACACAGUUCCCUCCAUCUCUUCAGCACCCCCCACCAGGGGGUGAGAAGCAGCCCUGAGUGUGCAAGGACCUCCCCACCCCUCCGUGUUCGUCUCUCUCCCUUCAUCCUCUCCAUCCCCUGCGUCCAGGACACCUCCGAGCCCUCUCCCUGCACUGUCCCCGCUGAUGAGCAGCAAAACCCCUGGCUGACCACGCUGCCUCCACACCAGCCCUGGACGACUUUCUCCUUUUUAAAAAUCUUCCGCCAUGUUCACUUGACCCAAGGAACCCUUGUGUGACCACGUCGAAGUUUCAUCGGCAUCCCAAGGACAAGCCCCGCGCUCCAGCCUCCGACUCGCUGUGCGGGGGUCUCGGGUGUGCCUCGCAGUGACAGCGCUUCUCCGUCUGAAAGUUACCUUGAUCACAUACCCUUGACACAUUUCAGGAUUUCUUAUGAUCGACGGUGGCGAGAGAGGUUGCCAGCAGCCAAGCGUCCCAAACACACCUUGAAAUGUUUCCAUAACUAGUCGAGUCUGUUUUCCGAAUUGAUUUUACGCCGUUAAGAUGGAAUCAACUGCAAACAUCCCACCCUGUCCGUUGCUGAGCUACAUCUCACGGCAGGGGCAGGUCUUGUCGUGGUGGGGGUGGGUCCUGUGGCGGGGACGGGUCUUGUCACAGUGGGGAUGGGUCUUUUCAUGGCGGGGACGGAUCUUGUUGUUGUGGGGACGGGUCUUUUCAUGGCGGGGAUGGGUCCUGUCAUGGUGGGGACGGGUCUUCUUGUUGUGGGCAUGGGUCCUGUCACAGUGGGGACGGGUCUUUUCAUGUCGGGGAUGGGUCUUGUUGCGGGGAUGGGUCUGGUCACAGCAGGGAUGUGCCAGGGGUUGCAGAUAAAGGGCACUGGUCAGCUUGUAGAUGUUGUGCGUAUGGAGCUGCUGUAUAUAUACCCUUGCAUUCACAUUUUUCUCAGUGUAAGUCCUUUUUUGUAGAUUGAACAGCUCAGAGUGGGAAAUUUGGGUCAAACGGUAAAAGUGUGUUUAAUUAUAAAAGAGAGGGACCAGAGUUCCCUGGUGGCUCAGCGGGUUAAGGAUCCAGCGUUGUCACUGCAGUGGGUUCGAUCUCUGGCCCUGGAACCUCCACAUGCUGCAGGCACGGCCAAAAGAAAUUUUUUAAUAAAAAAUUUUAAAAAGAGACAGACUGUCUUCCUGGUGGAUGCGCCAUUCCACACCCCUCAGCAGCGGUGGGAGUUGCAGCUGCCCCACAACCCUUGGGAGGGUCAGUGGUGCUCCCGAGGCUCCCAGAGGCCAUGUGAUGUCUGACUGCACCCAGCUUCAGUCCUCCCGGGGCUGGUGAUGCAAACCCUUUCAAGUGCCUCCCCAGACCCUUCCUGGUGAACCGUCUGUGCAAGUCUCCUUUUUCAUUUUCUGAUUUUGAUUUCAGGCUGCACCCAUGGCAUGUGAAAAUUCCCAGGCCAGGGAUCAAACCCUCAUCACAGCAGUGACCUGAGCCUCUGCUGUGACAACAUCAGACCCUUAACUCUCUGUGCCACCAGGGAACUCCUGCAAGUCUCUUUUUUUUUUAGAGUAAAAGUGUAUAUAUGUAAGGAGUUCCCAUCGUGGCGCAGUGGUUAACGAAUCUGACGAGGAACCAUGAGGUUUCGAGUUCGAUCCCUGGCCUUGCUCAGUGGGUUCAGGAUCUGGCGUUGGCAUGAGCUGUGGUGUAGGUCGCAGACGCGGCUUGGUUCCCGUGUUGCUGUGGCUGUGGUGUAGGCCGGUAGCUACAGCUCCGAUCAGACCCCUAGCCUGGGAACCUCCAUGUGCCGCGGGUGUGGCCCUAGAAAAGGCAAAAAGACCACAAAAAAGUGCACAUAUGUAAGGUGUACAGCAUGAGUUGUUAUACACACACAUAGUGAAAUGAUUACCACACUAAUUCACAAACACAGUUGCCCUUGAGAGCCCCUGAAAUCUCCCCUCUGAGGAAAUGUCCAGUAUUCCCCACGCUGUUAUUAACCGCAGUCACCGGGCUGCACGCAAGCUCUCCGGACUCACGCACCCCACAGACCUUCAGCCAUCCUCCCCACCACAACCGCAGUUCUACCCCCGGCUUCUAUGCAUUUGCCGUUUUCAACUUCCACGGGUGUGAAAUCUUUUUUUCUUUUUCUUUCUGUGCCUGGCUUAUGUAAUGCACCCUGCUGUCCUCCAAGCUCACCUGUGUUUGUUUCAAAUGGAAGGACCCCUUUCCUGUUUAAGGCUGCGUCAUAUUCCAUCGUACCUGGACCCCACCAUUUCUUUAUCAGUUCGUCUGUCUGUGGACACGUAGGCUGUUCGGAUCUUUUGCCUGCUUGCUGACUGGCUCAUUUGUCUUUAUGCAGAGAUGUCUUCGUUCCUCUCCCCUCACUGAUUUUAUGAGUAAGCACAUGGAAGCACAGAGAGGUUAAGUGACUUGCCUGAAUAUGCACAGCUGAUAACCAGCAGAGCCAGAAAACAGGAAUCCACGCCACCUCCUUGGUGGGAAGAACAGCAGAGAGGAGAGAGGCCCUUACUCCUUGUGAGUGUGUGUGUGUGUGUGUGUGUGUGUGUGUGUGCACUCAGUUCUGACUUUUACAAACAUGCGGCCAUUCCAUGUUCUGAGACACGCUCCAGACAGGCUCCACAGGGCCUGGCCGGUACCCACCUCGGGGCCUUUGCACCUGCUAUGCCCUCAGCCAGGAAAGGGGAAGGACUUUCUCUUUCCCGUCAUCCCCUUCUCAUGUCAAGUCUCAGCCCCCACAUCACAGCCUCCGAGGGCCAUGUCCAAACUUACCCUCUGGGGUUGGCUCAUUAAGCUGCUGACCGCCCCUCUUUCCAAGGCGGGUUUAAACUCUACGUGCUCAGGCAGCUUGUUCAGGAUGGGUCAUACUUCAUCCACCACUGGCUCCCGGGAGGGAGGGACCUGGGUGGGCCUGGCCUCACCAGGUGAACCUUCCAAAGCUGAGCCUUGGCUCAGACUGGUCAGCUGCUCCCAGAGAAACACAGAGACAGGGUCCCGCCGGCCUGGACGAGGAAGAAGCAGCUGCGGUUGUGUGCAUCCCUGGAGAAGGACGCAGCCCCCCUCGGACAGGCAGAGAGACGACUCGCCCCCGAGCCCAGCAACCGCAGGGGUAGGUCUGCCUGCAGCCAGGCGGGGGCGUGUGCGCGCGCAUGCGCGUGUGUGCCCUCGGGUAAGGCCCCGGCCUGGAGAACACGGUGACCGACUCAGCGACCCACGCCCGGGACCCUGAGCCGGGAAGCCGGCAUACGGUACCCUUUGUGCCGCCUUAAGCGGCUGAGUCGAUGGUGACUUGUGACACAGCAGCAGAAAACCAGCCCGCCUUCCACGGGCCAUUCCACGGACACUGCCUGACCUGCUCAUGGCUGCCCCCGAAGCCCCCACGCAGGGCGGAGGCAGGGGUCCAGGAGGUCUGCUCGGCCCCCCUCGCACCCCCAGACCCUCGUGAUGGGGGCUUCCGUUCUCGAGUUAGAGGGAACGCUUUGGGGCCAUCGGUGAGUUAUGGGACCAGCCGGGUGUCACAGACCUGGUCCCCAGCCUGGCUUUGCUCCUUCUGGCUGGUGUCAGAAGCUCUGUGACCCCAAGCGGUUCCUUCAUAAAGUGGGGCCCGUUCAGUGCCUUCCCCGUGGGCUCGUGGAAUUGAAUAACUGGAUCUGUUUCUAAAGCACUUGGCACAGGGUCUGGAAACGCCGCCAACCUGUUACCUGAAGUCACUGCAUCCAGACCUGCCCUCCCACAUGUAUAACAUCUGUGCCAGGGCACACGCAGGCGCUGUUAAAUGUCUCUCUCACAUACACACACACACAGAGUCCCAAACAGACACCCUCCCCCUUCCAAAGCCCAGAUCAUCAGCAUUUGUUCAGUAGGCACGUCAUUGACACUGAGCAGCCUCAAGACGCUGUGCAGGACGCAUAGGGCAGCAAACUACAUCCUUGCAAAAUACAGUUGCGAAAUGACCGAUUCUCAAACGGUAGAGGGAACACUGCUUAGACACAGAAGGCAGCGGUACAUUUGCCAGACAGAUGGGGAGCGUCGGCGGGUCCCUCCCUGCUCUGGAAAGCUUGCUCGCCCGCGCGCGCGCGCUGUGCGUGCCAGGCUGCGUUCAAGAGCACCGUUCCCAUCCCCUGGUUGGAAUCUAGCCUGGCCUUCAGCUCGGUGGAAAGGCCGUGGGAUUCUGGAGAGCGGAGGGUCUGUCCUGGCCGCUUGGCCUCGGGUGACAAUUCUUUUUGUUCGAAUCUAAGCAUGGUUGCUCGACAGCCUUGUGCCGGUUUCUGCCGCACAGCAUAGUGACCCACUUGCACACAUGCACACACUCAUUUUCUCACACUGUCUUCCAUCGCAGUCCCUCCCAAGAGACUGGACACGGUUCCCCGUGCUGUACAGCAGGACGUCAUCGCCUAUGCAUUUCCUGUGAAGAUUCUAACGGCUUCUCGCCAUCUGUCCAUAUUCACUGGGGCCCGUCCUGGGUUGAAGGGAGUGAGGCUCUCGGCUUGGGUACAAAUUUUAAGUGUGGGGGUGAGGAGAGUGCAGACAUCUCAGUGAUCAAGAGAGAUAAUUUUUUUUUUUGGUCUUUUUAGGGCCACACCUGCAGCAUAGGGAGGUUCCCAGUCUAGGGGAAUCCAGCUUGGAAUCAGAGCUGUAGCCACCAGCCUACCCCAGAGCCACAGCAAUGCCAGAUCCGAACUGCGUCUGCGACCUACACCACAGCUCACAGCAACACCGGAUCCUUAACCCACUGAGCGAGGCCAGGAAUGGAACUCGCAACCUCAUGGUUCCUGGAUGGAUUCUUUUCCAAUGUACCACGAUGGGAACGCCAAGAGAUAAUAUUUUAAUGCAGCGUUUCCUUAAAAUUUCCCAGUUAAAAUGGUGGGAAAAAUCAACGAGGAAGAAAUGCCCACAUGUUAACGGAAGACGGGCUCUCGCAGGGCUGCGAGUAGGGCAAGGUGAGGCGACGAGUCCUGCAAAGCUCAGGGUGGAAAUGUUGAUGUUGCGCUCCUCACGGACUGGAGGCAUUAUCCUUUCUUUUUUAAGCAAACGGCACUGGCACCGGGGCCUUCUCGUGGCUCAGGAGCCUGAGAAUCAGGCAUGAUCCCUGCAGCAGUUCCCUUCGCUGCUGCAGUGUGGCUGCGCGCCCUGGCCGGGGACUUUCGCGUGCCUCUGCUGCGCAGUAUUGCCCUGAGUCCUGAGGACUCGGCUUCCCUUACGUGGUGCGCCCAGGUGAACACCUCGGGGGCCCGCCAGCCCCUCCCCCCGCAGCAUCUCUGAUCCUUUCUCUCUGUCCCCACCGUGAACACCCUCGUUCUUUCCACCACCGCGUCUGGCUGGAGCCGGCACAGCAAACUCCCCGCCACCCGCUGCAUCCUGGUCUGGACACGACCUCCAAGCUGCUGGCACUGAAACUCGGGGUGACUUCCUCCGCAAACCCUCCCCCCAAAGCCCACUCCCAUCAUCCUCUCCCACCGUCUAGAUGUCUCCCCCCUGCCUCCCCCACCCCCAUCCCCACCAUCGCCCAGUUUGGGUUAUAGCAACUGAUGCUGCUAUUUUCUCACCUCUUUUCAGUUCUCUGCGCCAUUUCCCAGGGUGGGGGACCGGUCACACAAGUGUGAUGUCAUUUCAGAUGGUCCGGCUCCAAGGACAAUUAAACUUUACCAUACAAUGUUAUACCCUUGGGAGUUCCCGUGGUGGCUCAGUGGAUUAAGAACCCGACACAGUGUCUGCGAGGAUGCGGGUUCAAUCCCUGGCCUCGCUCAGUAGGUUAAGGACCUGGCACUGCCACAAGCUGUGACUUAGAUAACAGAUGCGGCUAGGAUCCCGCGUUCCUGUGGCUGUGGUGUAGGUGGGCAGCUGCAGCUCCCACUCGACCCCUCGCCUGGGAACCUCCAUGUGCUGCAGGUGCCACUGUAAAAGGAAAAAAAAAAAAAA